Molecule: transfer RNA, 73 nt
Filed under: Salmo salar (Atlantic salmon)
Lineage: Eukaryota; Metazoa; Chordata; Actinopteri; Salmoniformes; Salmonidae
Also listed under: 1 other name
Rfam family: tRNA
About the family: Transfer RNA (tRNA) molecules are approximately 80 nucleotides in length. Their secondary structure includes four short double-helical elements and three loops (D, anti-codon, and T loops).
Source: Rfam by way of RNAcentral
GGAACUAUGGCUCAGUUGGUAGAGCAUGGCGCUUGUAACGGCAGGAUUGUGGGUUUGAGUCCCAUGGACUCCU